Molecule: long non-coding RNA, 584 nt
Organism: Lolium perenne
Lineage: Eukaryota; Viridiplantae; Streptophyta; Magnoliopsida; Poales; Poaceae
Source: RefSeq, a predicted model, not a curated record
CCCCAUAACCGUCCUCUACUCUCUUCUUUCUUCCUCUGGCCCUGUUAUUCCACUGAUUAAAAAAUCUUUUCUCGAUCUUCUUUUUUUUAGGUCAUUGGGGUUUGAUUGCUCCAGAUGGACCUGAUCGCUCCCCUGCGUGACAUGGGAGAUCACGUAGUGCACAAAGUAACGGAACUUCUUAUUUUCCACAUUACUGAAUUCGCUCUUUCCAUCUGGAAAGUUAGAGCAAAUUGAGCUAGAGUUAGCCAAACCCCCGACGGUGGUGGUGUUGAGGAGUGCUAUGUGCUGGCAAGUGAAUCCGAUGGGAGUAAUGGACAGGGAUAAUGCAGAGGAUAUGAGUAUGGUCGAGAGGUUUCUUGAAGAGGUGGGAUGGAAGAGGGACAUAAAGGGGGGAAAUAACAUGGAUUAUUAGAUGACGGGAUUCAAAAAUGAGGCUUCAAAGAAGCUUCAGGCUUAGCCCAUUCUUGAGGUUGCAAUUGUACAAGAUGCAGAUCGUCUGGAGUUUGUGGAAGGCCUCACUGGGAUGAGAGCUGCUUGUGAACUUACCGCCCAUGUACUGAACUUUGCGCGAACAUUGGUCAAGG